GUGGGUAUGGAUUAAUGGUAAAUCGGCUGCCUUCCAAGCAGUUUAUAUGGGUUCGAAUCCCUUUACCCACU
RNAcentral lists this transfer RNA (71 nucleotides) under Glaucocystis nostochinearum. RNAcentral's name for it is "tRNA-Gly". It matches the Rfam family "tRNA". Rfam says of the family: Transfer RNA (tRNA) molecules are approximately 80 nucleotides in length. The record is from RNAcentral. Lineage: Eukaryota; Glaucocystophyceae; Glaucocystales; Glaucocystaceae.